Molecule: long non-coding RNA, 514 nt
Organism: Thalassophryne amazonica
Lineage: Eukaryota; Metazoa; Chordata; Actinopteri; Batrachoidiformes; Batrachoididae
Exons: 4
Source: RefSeq, a predicted model, not a curated record
GGGACUACAAUAGCAUGGAUCACUUUCAGCACAUUUGAAAGACACAGCACACACUUCUCAGACCUGUGCCUUUAAACGAGAUAAUAACACCAUAAAACCUUUGUGUACUUCCUGAAGAAAUACGAGAUCACUUGAUAGCGACGCACACGCCUGAAAAGCUUUGGAAUCACUAUUUUAAAAAAAGGGUGACCCCCAAAAAGACCCAAAGUGUGACCAAGAAGCUUUUGUUUCUGCCAACUCCCUUUUGGACACAUGGCGAUGCAGCACAGUUUGACACAAGUCCAGCUAUGACCACUGUAAUAAACAUCCUGAAAUAUUUAUUUCCAGGUUUGGUGUUUUCCUUUGUCGCUGUGCUGCUCUGCUUCUGUUUGUAUGCAAAAAGGAAAAGUGACUCAUAUGACUUCACCGUGGCAACACGACGUCACAACAGCGCCUACAUGCCAGCGGCCUAUCUGCCUUUGAGUCGUGCACAAAUGGAAGACGGAUCUCCUCUAAGCUGCAGAUCCUGGAUGAA